RNAcentral lists this ribosomal RNA (554 nucleotides) under Rhizophagus intraradices. RNAcentral's name for it is "SSU rRNA". It matches the Rfam family "Eukaryotic small subunit ribosomal RNA", at positions 557 to 1112 of the family's 1831-position model. The record is from RNAcentral. Lineage: Eukaryota; Fungi; Glomeromycota; Glomeromycetes; Glomerales; Glomeraceae.
AAGUCUGGUGCCAGCAGCCGCGGUAAUUCCAGCUCCAAUAGCGUAUAUUAAAGUUGUUGCAGUUAAAAAGCUCGUAGUUGAAUUUCGGGGUUAGUAGGCUGGUCAUGCCACCGGUAUGUACUGGUCUUACUGAUUCCUCCUUCCUGAUGAACUGUAAUGCCAUUAAUUUGGUGUUGCAGGGAAUCUGGACUGUUACUUUGAAAAAAUUAGAGUGUUUAAAGCAGGCUAACGCUUGAAUACAUUAGCAUGGAAUAAUGAAAUAGGACGUUCGAUCCUAUUUUGUUGGUUCCUAGGAUUGACGUAAUGAUUAAUAGGGAUAGUUGGGGGCAUUAGUAUUCAAUUGUCAGAGGUGAAAUUCUUGGAUUUAUUGAAGACUAACUACUGCGAAAGCAUUUGCCAAGGAUGUUUUCAUUAAUCAAGAACGAAAGUUAGGGGAUCGAAGACGAUCAGAUACCGUCGUAGUCUUAACCAUAAACUAUGCCGACUAGGGAUCGGAUGAUGUUAAUUUUUUAAUGACUCAUUCGGCGCCUUACGGGAAACCAAAGUGUUUGGGU